Molecule: long non-coding RNA, 432 nt
Organism: Anguilla anguilla (European eel)
Lineage: Eukaryota; Metazoa; Chordata; Actinopteri; Anguilliformes; Anguillidae
Exons: 2
Source: RefSeq, a predicted model, not a curated record
GAUUUGGGGAACUGAAAAGGAGAGGAGGAGGAGGAGGAGGAGGAGGGAUACACAAGUCUCCGUGUAACUUGAGGGCAACAACACAUAUCUGGUCACCAUGUAUCACCCUGUCACAGUGGACCCCAGUGGACCCCAGGCACUGACGGUGUCCCCAGAAAAACCCUGUAGGACAGACGUGAAGUGCCCUCACAGCAGUGAGGAUGACCAGCUGGCUGACAGCUCUCAACACUCACGCACAACUUCCGCAGGCAGCGGCUUCAAGCUACCGGCACCUUCUCCCCGCUAUCCUCAUACAAGACCUCAUCCAGUGAAAAUAACCCACCUUGAUAAAUGUAAGUUAACAUGAAGGAGAGCCACACAACUGGGAGUCUUCUGCGUUAUAUCUAACGCAUAACAAUAUAAUUAUCCGGUACAAUAAACAAAAAAAGAUUA